RNAcentral lists this ribosomal RNA (428 nucleotides) under uncultured archaeon. RNAcentral describes it as "SSU rRNA". It matches the Rfam family "Archaeal small subunit ribosomal RNA", at positions 18 to 449 of the family's 1478-position model. The record is from RNAcentral.
CGGCGGCCACCGCUAUAGGAAUUCGAUUAAGACAUGCGAGUCGAGAGUCGUAAUGGACUCGGCGGACUGCUCAGUAACACGUGGAUAACGUGCCCUUAAGUGGAGGAUAAUCUCGGGAAAUUGAGGAUAAUACUCCAUAGACUACGAAAUCUGGAAUGAUUCAUAGUUGAAAGUUCCGGCGCUUAAGGAUCGGUCUGCGGCCUAUCAGGUUGUAGUGGGUGUAACGUACCUACUAGCCUAUGACGGGUAUGGGCCUUGAGAGAGGGAGCCCAGAGUUGGAUUCUGAGACACGAAUCCAGGCCCUACGGGGCGCAGCAGUCGCGAAAACUUCACAAUGGGGGCAACCCCGAUGAGGGAAUUCCUAGUGCUAGCACAAUUGUGUUAGCUUUUCUCUAGCGUAGAUAACUGGAGGAAUAAGGGCUGGAAAG